Molecule: ribosomal RNA, 524 nt
Filed under: uncultured bacterium
Lineage: Bacteria
Description: bacterial SSU rRNA
Rfam family: Bacterial small subunit ribosomal RNA
Source: RNAcentral
GAGUUUGAUCAUGGCUCAGAUUGAACGCUGGCGGCAUGCUUUACACAUGCAAGUCGAACGGUAACAGGGAGCUUGCUCCGCUGACGAGUGGCGAACGGGUGAGUAAUGCGUCGGAACGUGCCGAGUAGUGGGGGAUAACGCAUCGAAAGGUGUGCUAAUACCGCAUACGAACUGAGGUUGAAAGUGGGGGACCUUCGGGCCUCACGCUAUUCGAGCGGCCGACGUCUGAUUAGCUAGUAGGUGAGGUAAAGGCUCACCUAGGCGACGAUCAGUAGCGGGUCUGAGAGGAUGAUCCGCCACACUGGGACUGAGACACGGCCCAGACUCCUACGGGAGGCAGCAGUGGGGAAUUUUGGACAAUGGGCGCAAGCCUGAUCCAGCCAUGCCGCGUGUCUGAAGAAGGCCUUCGGGUUGUAAAGGACUUUUGUCUGGGAGCAAAUACCCGGUGUUAAUAGCGCCGGGGGCUGAGAGUACCAGAAGAAUAAGCACCGGCUAACUACGUGCCAGCAGCCGCGGUAAUACGU